Molecule: ribosomal RNA, 301 nt
Filed under: uncultured bacterium
Lineage: Bacteria
Description: partial 16S ribosomal RNA
Rfam family: Bacterial small subunit ribosomal RNA
Source: RNAcentral
CAGCAGCCGCGGGAAUACGUAGGUCCCGAGCGUUGUCCGGAUUUAUUGGGCGUAAAGCGAGCGCAGGCGGUUAGAUAAGUCUGAAGUUAAAGGCUGUGGCUUAACCAUAGUACGCUUUGGAAGCUGUUUAACUUGAGUGCAAAAGGGGAGAGUGGAAUUCCAUGUGUAGCGGUGAAAUGCGUAGAUAUAUGGAGGAACACCGGUGGCGAAAGCGGCUCUCUGGCUUGUAACUGACGCUGAGGCUCGAAAGCGUGGGGAGCAAACAGGAUUAGAUACCCCGGUAGUCCCUGUCUCUUAUACA